GUGGGGAACUGCCGAACCAUUACACACCACUAGGGCCUUUUAAGAAUCUCCAAAGUGCCACCUCACCAACUUCUUAUACUACUGUUGUGGAUACAAAAAGCACUAAAAUCCUUCUGUUUGAGUAGCAAUACUUUAUUUAUUUACAAGUUUGAAAUUGUAACCAUGUUAUUGUGCUUGAUAUACCUUUCUAUAAUUUACUUUCAGUCUUUGUUGGACUGAUAAUGAUGUAUAUUUCUUAUUAAGAACUUCAUGCUUGUUAUCA
Molecule: unclassified non-coding RNA, 262 nt
Filed under: Hevea brasiliensis (rubber tree)
Lineage: Eukaryota; Viridiplantae; Streptophyta; Magnoliopsida; Malpighiales; Euphorbiaceae
Source: RNAcentral